GGGUGAGUAACGCGUGGGAACGUACCUUUUGGUUCGGAACAACACAGGGAAACUUGUGCUAAUACCGGAUAAGCCCUUACGGGGAAAGAUUUAUCGCCGAAAGAUCGGCCCGCGUCUGAUUAGCUAGUUGGUGAGGUAAUGGCUCACCAAGGCGACGAUCAGUAGCUGGUCUGAGAGGAUGAUCAGCCACAUUGGGACUGAGACACGGCCCAAACUCCUACGGGAGGCAGCAGUGGGGAAUAUUGGACAAUGGGGGCAACCCUGAUCCAGCCAUGCCGCGUGAGUGAUGAAGGCCCUAGGGUUGUAAAGCUCUUUUGUGCGGGAAGAUAAUGACGGUACCGCAAGAAUAAGCCCCGGCUAACUUCGUGCCAGCAGCCGCGGUAAUACGAAGGGGGCUAGCGUUGCUCGGAAUCACUGGGCGUAAAGGGUGCGUAGGCGGGUCUUUAAGUCAGGGGUGAAAUCCUGGAGCUCAACUCCAGAACUGCCUUUGAUACUGAGGAUCUUGAGUUCGGGAGAGGUGAGUGGAACUGCGAGUGUAGAGGUGAAAUUCGUAGAUAUUCGCAAGAACACCAGUGGCGAAGGCGGCUCACUGGCCCGAUACUGACGCUGAGGCACGAAAGCGUGGGGAGCAAACAGGAUUAGAUACCCUGGUAGUCCACGCCGUAAACGAUGAAUGCCAGCCGUUAGUGGGUUUACUCACUAGUGGCGCAGCUAACGCUUUAAGCAUUCCGCCUGGGGAGUACGGUCGCAAGAUUAAAACUCAAAGGAUUUGACGGGGGCCCGCACAAGCGGUGGAGCAUGUGGUUUAAUUCGACGCAACGCGCAGAACCUUACCAGCCCUUGACAUGUCCAGGACCGGUCGCAGAGAUGUGACCCUCUCUUCG
This 884-nucleotide ribosomal RNA is filed under the name Bradyrhizobium japonicum. RNAcentral describes it as "bacterial SSU rRNA". It matches the Rfam family "Bacterial small subunit ribosomal RNA", at positions 104 to 1022 of the family's 1533-position model. Lineage: Bacteria; Pseudomonadati; Pseudomonadota; Alphaproteobacteria; Hyphomicrobiales; Nitrobacteraceae. The record is from RNAcentral.